GGGGGCCCGCAAGCGGUGGAGCAUGUGGUUCAAUUCGACGCAACGCGAAGAACCUUACCUGGGCUCGAAAUGCAGGAGACCGGGGUAGAAAUAUCCCUUUCCGCAAGGACUGCUGUAUAGGUGCUGCAUGGCUGUCGUCAGCUCGCGUCGUGAGAUGUUGGGUUAAGUCCCGCAACGAGCGCAACCCUUAUCCCUAGUUGCCAUCGGGUCAAGCCGGGCACUCUAGUGAAACCGCCCCGGAUAACGGGGAGGAAGGUGGGGAUGACGUCAAGUCCUCAUGGCCUUUAUGUCCAGGGCUACACACGUGCUACAAUGGACGGUACAAAGCGCGCCAAACCCGCGAGGGGGAGGAAAUCGCAAAAAACCGCUCUCAGUUCGGAUUGCAGGCUGCAACUCGCCUGCAUGAAGCUGGAAUCGCUAGUAAUGGCGCAUCAAAACGGCGCCGUGAAUACGUUCCCGGGCCUUGUACACACC
This 474-nucleotide ribosomal RNA is filed under the name uncultured bacterium. Its description in RNAcentral is "bacterial SSU rRNA". It matches the Rfam family "Bacterial small subunit ribosomal RNA", at positions 915 to 1391 of the family's 1533-position model. The record is from RNAcentral.